UGUAGUCUCAACGAUGAUGCAUACAUGUCAACUAUGGGUGUUGGCUCCAACAAUUCGCAUUGGUCUCAAACCAAUGACAUGCAUUUCGAAGACCAUGAGUUCGAGGUGGACGAGGAGGGUGAGGGCAUUGUCGACGCGCCGAAAGGAAGAGCGGGCAAUUACACCAACGCCGAUGACAUCUUACUAUGCAAUACUUGGUUGCAAGUGUCGAGGGAUCCAUCCGUUGGAGGUGAUCAAAGUAGAGAUGCUUAUUGUGGGCGGAUCAAAGAACACUAUGAUGUUCACAACGUGAGUGGAAUUGACCGCUCCGAGAGAUCACUUCGGUCCCGGUGGUCGACAAUCAACUCGGAUUGUCAAAGGUGGGCGGCCUGUCAAAAGGCGGUUGACAAGUUGAACCCAAGUGGCACAAAUGAGGACGAUAGAGCAAGUGGCAUCUCAUACAUGUUCAUCAUACUUGUUGUUGGUGUUCGAAGUGCUAACUUGUUUUGUUUUCAUGUAGUACCACAUUGCACAAAACUUGUUCAAAGAAGAGGAGAGGAAGACCAAGAAGGGGAAGAUCAAGAAAGGAAGGGUCUUUACCUUGCCUCAUUGCUAUAA
This 597-nucleotide ribosomal RNA is filed under the name Triticum aestivum (bread wheat). RNAcentral describes it as "partial small subunit ribosomal RNA". The record is from RNAcentral. Lineage: Eukaryota; Viridiplantae; Streptophyta; Magnoliopsida; Poales; Poaceae.